Molecule: transfer RNA, 77 nt
Filed under: bacterium
Lineage: Bacteria
Also listed under: 1 other name
Description: tRNA-Arg
Rfam family: tRNA
About the family: Transfer RNA (tRNA) molecules are approximately 80 nucleotides in length.
Source: RNAcentral
GCGCCUGUAGCUCAGUUGGAUAGAGCAUCUGCCUUCUAAGCAGAGGGUCACAGGUCCGAAUCCUGUCAGGCGUACCA